RNAcentral lists this ribosomal RNA (292 nucleotides) under uncultured eukaryote. RNAcentral's name for it is "partial 18S ribosomal RNA". It matches the Rfam family "Eukaryotic small subunit ribosomal RNA", at positions 6 to 299 of the family's 1831-position model. The record is from RNAcentral.
GGUUGAUCCUGCCAGUAGUCAUAUGCUUGUCUCAAAGAUUAAGCCAUGCAUGUCUAAGUAUAAGCAAUUAUACAGUGAAACUGCGAAUGGCUCAUUAAAUCAGUUAUCGUUUAUUUGAUAGUUCAUUACUACAUGGAUAACCGUGGUAAUUCUGUGGCUAAUACAUGACUAAAACCCCGACUGUUAUGGGAGGGGUGUAUUUAUUAGAUAAAAAAUCAAUGCUCUUCGGAGCCGUUUGAUGAAUCAUAAUAACUUCUCGAAGCUCAUGGCCUUGUGCUGGAGCUGGUUCAUU